Molecule: ribosomal RNA, 492 nt
Filed under: uncultured bacterium
Lineage: Bacteria
Description: partial 16S ribosomal RNA
Rfam family: Bacterial small subunit ribosomal RNA
Source: RNAcentral
AGUGAACGCUGGCGGUAUGCCUAACACAUGCAAGUCGAACGGCAGCACAGUAAGCGCUUUCUCUUACGGGUGGGGAGUGGCGGGCGGGUGAGGAGUACGUCGGAAUCUACUUUUUCGUGGGGGGUAACGUAGGGAAAAUUACGCUGAUACCGCAUACGACCUACGGGUGAAAGCUUGGGAUCUUCGGACCUUGCGCGAUUCAAUGACCCGUUGUCGGAUUAGCUAGUUGGCGGGGUAAAGGCCCACCAAGGCGACGAUCCGUAGCUGGUCUGAGAGGAUGAUCAGCCACACUGGAACUGAGACACGGUCCAGACUCCUACGGGAGGCAGCAGUGGGGAAUAUUGGACAAUGGGCGCAAGCCUGAUCCAGCCAUACCGCGUGUGUGAUGAAGGCCUUCGGGUUGUAAAGCCCUUUUGUUGGGAAAGAAAAGCAGCAGGCUAAUACCACGCUUUGCUGACGGUACCCAAAGAAUAAGCACCGGCUAACUUCGUG